This is a long non-coding RNA of Rosa chinensis, 1406 nucleotides long. RefSeq lists it as uncharacterized. Lineage: Eukaryota; Viridiplantae; Streptophyta; Magnoliopsida; Rosales; Rosaceae. The transcript is spliced from 5 exons. The record is from RefSeq and is a predicted model, not a curated record.
CAUUAUAAUCUGAAAUAUAUACACACAAUAUGAGCGUUAUUAUCAAUAGCUCUGUUUAAUAUGUACAUUCCCUCAAGUCUUUAGCCAGAAGUGGUAUGCUUAACUAACUGGAGUGGGCUGCAAUGAACCAACCGAAAUGUAGACCAAGGGGGCCCCAGUGACGUGGACAGAUUACAUCCUCAGGAAUUGGUUACUUUGUGUUGACCGUGAACUGACGGUUAACUGUAAAUGUUUUGCCGUCAUGGUGAAAGAAGCGGGGGCUAAUGGUAUUUUGGCAUCUGGGAUGAGGUUUACAGCUGGAGGACCUUCAUCAAAACCAUGAAAACUUGUCUGGUUUGGGCGGGCGUUUGGCAGCUCCUCCCCUGGGCUUCAGACGGGGUCAGAAGUGAAUUAUGAGUCAGACCAAUAUGCGAAUCGAGCGACCUCCCCUUCCCCUUGCAUGCAAUGAUGUGGUGAACUUCCUCUCGAUCAUUCUAAGUCAGUGCUCUCCAGAGAGCAAUUUCGUCGAUACACGUGAUGGUCCGGAAUCCCCAAAAUCUCCAAUAGCAAAGUCUCCAUCCCAGAACUCUCUUCGUAAUGCUAGUCUUGUUGCCGAAAGGAAAAUGUUUGUUGUGUCCCAGGUUGGAAGGUCCAGUUUCCAGAAGCUUUUGGAGCCAAAUUAAGCCCCCACUCAGAGAUCUGCAAUUACUCCUUAUAGAAUUAUUCUUGGUAAUAUAAAAGACAAGCAAUCAUGUGGAUCAGGGAUCCUAGCUGAUGGUGGGCUUGAUGAUUUGAUCCGAAGAGUUGCUACCUUUGGGAUGGUAUUAAUGAAAGCUCGACUUGCGUCAGGUGUGCUUUUAUUUUAUUGUAGAAGCUAGACGUUGCUACCCCAGGCUGAGCUUGGCUUCCUCAACGUAGGAAGCUGCCCCUCAAGAAGAAAGAGCUCUACUGGAAUUGGACAUCUUCGGCAGUUCCAUGGGUGUUUGCAUGGACUCAAGCCAGAUUUGUCUUCCAGCUUUGCUUGGAGUUAAACCCCUUGUUGAUCUUUUUGUGAGAGCAUCAAACACACCAGCCAUAAAGGUGUAUGAGAAGAAUCCCAUAUUGAAUCUCUCAUUCUUGCCAAGAUUAUAGGAGCUAUGCAGACGCCAUCCCUUGGAUGAGAAAUUAUAAUGGUGUAUAGGUGCUAUUUUUUUACAUUUAGACUCAUGAAGAUCUAUCAGUGAUUGUAAUCCCUUCCAAAGGUUUCUUUUAGGGUAUGUUUCUGUGGAAUCUAACAAAAGAAGAGAAUUGUUUUCGACACUCAAGUUCAACAAUGUGAUGCUUAGAAGCACAAAAUUGGUUCAUAGUUCAAGUGGAGACUUGGAAUGAUUUAUUGGGAAAUUCUUUACAUUCUUAGAAAGGCUUUUAUUUCGAGCAGUAAAACAUUA